AAAGAAGAUAAAAGGAAAUGAGGUAAAGAAAAGGAAGAGGGAAAAGUAUUCAUGUCAUUUUUAAAAACAGAUGCUUUGGAUCUGAAACAAAUGAGGAAGCUGAAUGUACUUCCCUUGGAAGCAUAUUCCAUACUCUUAUCCCGGCAAUUCUGAACGAUACAACUAAAGUUUUGGAGGAGUGUUGAAGGGAUGGUAUAUGAUUGGUGCAUUUGGAUAUCUUGAUCUAACACAGGAAUAAGCAAUUUGAAGGUGAUGAGCUGAUUGAGAAUCUAAG
This is a long non-coding RNA of Cimex lectularius (bed bug), 274 nucleotides long. RefSeq lists it as uncharacterized. The transcript has 2 exons. The record is from RefSeq and is a predicted model, not a curated record. Lineage: Eukaryota; Metazoa; Arthropoda; Insecta; Hemiptera; Cimicidae.